CAGCGAGGCCCACAAGUGAAUCAUAAACACUUGCGUUCUGCAGAUGACUCUUCCACUGGGACGGGAUCAGAUCUACCCCUAAUGGAUGUAUUUGCUGUGCAGAAAAUGGUGUCCUGAGAAUGUGCCACAGCAUAUCAGGCUGGUAUCAGCUCAGCUGGAGAGUGGAAUGGUUCCAAAUUACCACAGUAUUGAGAUGGAAGGGCUGACAGCACAAGCCAGAGAUCAG
Lepidothrix coronata (blue-crowned manakin) is the source of this 226-nucleotide long non-coding RNA. RefSeq lists it as uncharacterized. The record is from RefSeq and is a predicted model, not a curated record. The transcript is spliced from 3 exons. NCBI's taxonomy places the organism in Eukaryota, Metazoa, Chordata, Aves, Passeriformes, Pipridae.